ACGGCUCAGUAACACGUAGCUAACCUAACCUUUGGUCGGAAAUAACCUCGGGAAACUGAGGAUAAUAUCCGAUAGGAAAUUAUUUCUGGAAUGAGUUUUUUCUUAAAUUCGAGCCAAAGGAUGGGGCUGCGGCUGAUUAGCUAGUUGUUGGUGUAAAAGACUAACAAGGCAAUGAUCAGUAAGGGUUCUUAGCGGAAGAGCCCUGAGAAGGAAUCUGAGACACUAUUCCUAGCUCUACGGGGUGCAGCAACUAGGUAUCUUUUACAAUGCGCGCAAGCGUGAUAAAGCGAGCCAGAGUGUUCUUCUUAGAAGAACUUUUGUUUGUUGUAAAAAGACAGACGAAUAAGGACUGGGCAAGACCGGUGCCAGCCGCCGCGGUAAUACCGGCGGUCCAAGUCGCAUCCACAUUUAUUGGGUCUAAAACAUCCGUAGCUUGCAUCGUAAGUCUCUUGUGAAAUCUCAUAUCUCAAGUAUGAGGCGUGCAAGAGGUACUGCUUUGCUAGAGAUCGGAAGACGCAACGAGUACACUCAUGGUAGCGGUAAAAUGUGUUAAUCAUGAGUGGACUAACAACGGCGAAGGCACGUUGCGAGUACGAAUCUGACAGUGAGGGAUGAAGGCUAGGGGCGCAAAACGGAUUAGAUACCCGUGUAGUCCUAGCAGUAAACGCUGCUCACUAAACAUUAGUACCUCCUCGAGAGGUAUUGGUGCUGUAGGGAAGCCGCAGAGUGAGCUACCUGGGAAGUAUAGUCGCAAGGCCGAAACUUAAAGGAAUUGGCGGGGGAGCAC
Molecule: ribosomal RNA, 787 nt
Filed under: uncultured archaeon
Lineage: Archaea
Description: bacterial SSU rRNA
Rfam family: Archaeal small subunit ribosomal RNA
Source: RNAcentral